Molecule: ribosomal RNA, 572 nt
Filed under: Geomyces sp. 04NY17B
Lineage: Eukaryota; Fungi; Ascomycota; Leotiomycetes; Thelebolales; Pseudeurotiaceae
Description: eukaryotic LSU rRNA
Rfam family: 5.8S ribosomal RNA (bases 227-380)
Source: RNAcentral
GGAAGUAAAGUCGUAACAAGGUUUCCGUAGGUGAACCUGCGGAAGGAUCAUUACAGUAGUCGCCCGGGCUGCCGCAAGGCCUCCCGGGUAACCUACCACCCUUUGUUUAUUACACUUUGUUGCUUUGGCAAGCCUGCCCUCGGGCUGCUGGCUCCGGCCGGCGAGCGCUUGCCAGAGGACCUAAACUCUGUUUGUCUAUACUGUCUGAGUACUAUAUAAUAGUUAAAACUUUCAACAACGGAUCUCUUGGUUCUGGCAUCGAUGAAGAACGCAGCGAAAUGCGAUAAGUAAUGUGAAUUGCAGAAUUCAGUGAAUCAUCGAAUCUUUGAACGCACAUUGCGCCCCCUGGUAUUCCGGGGGGCAUGCCUGUCCGAGCGUCAUUACAACCCUCAAGCUCAGCUUGGUGUUGGGCCCCGCCGCCCCGGCGGGCCCUAAAGUCAGUGGCGGUGCCGUCCGGCUCCGAGCGUAGUAAUUCUUCUCGCUCUGGAGGCCCGGUCGUGUGCUCGCCAGCAACCCCCAAUUUUUUUCAGGUUGACCUCGGAUCAGGUAGGGAUACCCGCUGAACUUAAGCA